Molecule: long non-coding RNA, 42566 nt
Filed under: Sorghum bicolor (sorghum)
Lineage: Eukaryota; Viridiplantae; Streptophyta; Magnoliopsida; Poales; Poaceae
Description: long non-coding RNA (SBIC_LNC009286)
Source: RNAcentral
GAAUUAGUAACUGCAGCCAAUCUCCGAAAAGUCCCGAUUGUUUCGAUUUUUGGAAUGGGAUAUUUACGGAAUCCCCAUGAAUAGGAUCAAACCUUAUUCCAUGCUAUUUCCAUAAGAUUCCUCUUUCUUAUUCUUAAGCAAGCCCCCGAGAGGGCUUAGUUGAUCCUGAUUUCUGUUUUCUCUUUUUUUCCUUUUUAUUUGUUUCGAAAAAGAAAUCGUCCGAUUCUCCUUCUAUUGAUUCUUUUCCGAUUGAGAUGUAUGGAUCUAUGUGUCUACAUACCUAGAUUCUGUUCAUACAUUAACGAAAAUGUGCAAGAGCUCUAUUUGCCUCUGCCAUUCUAUGAGUCGCUUCCUUUUUGCGUAUGGCACCCCCACUCCCUUUGGCAGCAUCUACUAAUUCGGAACUUAAUUUGAAAGCCAUAUUUCGACCCGGACGCUUUUGGGAUGCUUCUAAUAACCAACGAAUGGCAAGUGCUCUUCCUUGUUUAGAUCCUAUUUCAAUCAGAACUUUCCGCGUCGAUCCUUUUUUAUUACGUCUUGUUUUUACUCCUAUAUUGGGAGUUACUCUACGUAUUGCUUGACGUAAAACCAAUACUGGAUUUGUUUCUGUCUUUUGUUGAAUCUUUUUCACGGCUCGAUAGAGAAUUUGAUAAGCCAAUGAUUUUUUUCCGUCUUUCAUAAUACGGUUAACCACCAUGUUAACUAAUCGAUUACGAAAAAUUGGAUCAGAUUUUGUGGUUCUUUUUUCUGCAGUACCUCGACGUGACAUGAGCGUGAAAGAGGUUCAAGAAUCCAUUUUCUUUUUAUAAGGGCUAAAAACGAAUCACUUAUUUUUUUGGCUUUUUUGGCCCCAUAUUGUAGGGUGGAUCUCGAAAGAUAGGAAAGAUCUCCCUCCAAGCCGUACAUACGACUUUCAUCGAAUACGGCUUUCCAUAGAAUUCAUAGAGAUCUAUGAGAUCGAGUAUGGAAUUCUGUUUACUCACUUAAAAUUGAGUAUCUGUUUCCCUCCUUUUCCCGCUAGGACCGGAAAUCCUGUAUUUUCCAUAUCCAUACGAUCGAGUCCGCUUUAGUUCUACCUACUCGGGUGAGGGUACUUUUCCAAGUCAGUAAGGCCUAUCCAUGUGUGUGCAGGUCACCAAGGAAGAUAAAUACGUAGAGUGCCCGCUUCUCUGCUAUACUUCUUCCUCGUUAAGUGCUUCAUUUACUGCUUUUUACACCACUGCUGAUGCCCGGAUACCCCUACAGUGCAGACUAAAGGAAAGCUUUUGAAAAGAAAUACAAACAUAAAGUUUGAUAUCGAUUUUGAUACAUAUAAGGUGUCCUACGGAUAAUGCAAAUCAAAGCUAUUUGAUGUCUGACUCAGGCCUAUAUGUAUAUGAGCGAUCGAUCGAAAUACUCCAAGACUCCACCCGGCAUAAUGAAUGCAAGCUAGAUCGGAUGCUUGGAAUAUUGCUACCUCGCCUUUGGGUAAUCCCAUACAUCUGGGCAAAGCAGUGGAGGUAGAUAAGUGGAUAUUGCGGUGCUUUCUCUAAUACUUGCUUUCCAGCAAAGCAGGUUUUCAAGGCCGAGGGUGAACUGGACUCGCAUUCACUUGCUGGGAAAAAGUGAGUGGAUCAGGCUACGACUGAGGCUGAGGAUAGGUCACAGGACGGAUGAGGUAAAGUAUUCCAAAACGGAGGAUUCCAACCCGAGGAAGUAGGUCAACCACCUUCAAUAUGGCUCCACGGAAGUAGUUAGGGGAUAAGCCCAAGGAGGAUAGGCCUAUGGGAUUUCCACAAUGAGUCCUAGUACCAGGUAGGUUAAGGCGUAAUAAGUAAAAGAGGUCUUAGCGGAACUCGAUAGGCCAAAAAGGAGGGUGUGCGAAGGUAGGCUCAAGCGUUGAUUCUGCUCGUGAGCGUAAUGGUAUAAGCCUGCCUGACUGUGAGACCGACUGGUCGAACAGAGACGAAAGUCGGCCAUAGUGAUCCAGGAGUCUCGUGUGGAAGGGCUCUCGCUCUAUAAAAGGCCAACAAUCUAUAAAUCUAUUGGUGACACGUUCUUUGAAAUUUUCGGAUUACGAAGCUAGAAACAUUAAACAAUAUAUGUCGAGUUUAUAAUUUGUUUCCAUCGUUUUAUCCUUUAUAAAAUUUUAAAACAAACUUUACUUGACUAUAUUUCAAUGGAGAAAUAGAUAAUGGCAUGUAGACCUACUAGUCUACUACUCAUCACGAGUGCAUUCUACCAUGGUUGAUGCUUUUUCUAGUUGAUAAGCUGGCUGAUGCUAUUUUCUUGUAAGAGGAAAAUAUUAUACCAUGGUUGAUAAGUCGGAUUAAUAAAUUCAAGCGAAUAGGGCCAUAGUAAAACCCUCUCUAUUUUUUUUGUUUCAUUUCUACCCAUGACCGUACAUUUUUCAACUGAUGCUAAAUUAAAGUAGUCUGAGAGAAAAACAUUGUUGGUUGACAGAAAAAACACGACUGAUAAGACAAGCGAACCAGCUUUGUGGUGAGCUCCAUUUCUCGAUAAAACUACUAUCUAAAGUUUCUCACAAGUUAUUCAGUUCUUUGGCUCUGUUAUAAAUUCAAAUUUUUCCAACAUCUUUUACCUCCUCUUAUAUUUUAGGGUUACCCCCCUUUACCAAGUAAAGCAUAAAUUCACCGCGCGCUGUCCUACUCCCGACCACUUGUACCCUCAAGCAGUCAUUAGGUGGCCCUAUCGUCAGUACCUCAGACUUUUCCAGCCAUACCAUAGAAAACCACCACUAGCCUUACGUGGUAGUGCUAGUAAAGAAAUUAGUUGCUGAUCAAGCAUGUUAUCCAUGCCACUGUACUGUACCUAGAUAUGGGCCAUGCUACCAUAUAUCUGUUUGUGACCAGAUUCCCGCAAAGAAAAACCCACUUGCGUUGCGUUGUGCCCCAUGCAAGGCAGCUGAUGCGUGCCGGCGGUGGGUUCCGUGGGCAUAUUUGUACGCGCGCACAUGGCGACAUGGCCGCGCGCUCCAUCCAGCUCCAGUUUGUGUCCUCCCAAACUAACCAAAUGAUUGGGUUUGGGAUUAGUCGAUUUCAUUCGUAAUAAGGCUUUGUAGUAGCUGGACGCCUCUGCUGUCUGCUUGGGGAGGAUCCCUUCCAGAUUUGGAAGCGUAGGAGUACUUCAGACGAGACACGGCGUAGUACGUAGCUGGGGAAAGAUACGCGUGUGUGGUCGGCCGGUGCUGUUUGAAGGGUUUACGCUAGGGCCUUGUUUAGUUCGUAAAAGAUUUUGGAUUUUAUUAAUGUAGUAAUUUUGUUUUUAUUUGAUAAUUAUUAUUUAGCUAUAGAUUAAUUAGACUCAAAAGAUUCGUUUCGUAAAUUUUAGAUAAACUGUAUAACUAGUUAUUUUUUAUCUACAUUUAAUGCUUCAUAUAUAAGUCGCAAGAUUUGAUACGUCAAAGAAUCUAGAAAAAUUUGGGGAAGUCGCUAGUAGCGCUAGCUACCCGGUUUGGUCCAUGUCCAAGUCCGUCCAGCCGAGGUGCGCGGCGCCGCACGUGUAGUUACCCUGUUGGGACUAGUCCGUUUGGGCACCGUCGCCAGCAGUCAUCAACACAGACACCACAAAGCACAAGAAGGUGUGCAGUGCCAGCCACACGAUGGCCGGCCGAUGGCACAGGCGCAGCGCAGAUUGGGGGAUGGAUGGAUGGAUGGUAGCGACCCGGCCGGCCGCCGACGACCAUGUGCUGUGCUGUGCUGUGCCGCAGAUAGACGUCCGGGCCGGCGCGGUGACCUGACGAGACCUCGCACCACACCGGACCGGCGGACCCGACCCCAUGCCAGCAUGUUGCCCUCCAGGGCAGAGCAGGAGUAGGGCGCCUGCAUGCACUGCAUCGCUGCCGCCACGCGCAUGCAUGCAUGGUUCCGGCGGCCGGCAGGUCCGGCACAUCCGCACAUGUACCCCCAGGACCACCAUACUACAUGCAUGGAGCAUGGAGCAGUAUGUACUCGUACGUGGCAGAUUCACAUUGCGCGCACCAGUUUUUUAUAUCCGCCUGGGCCACUACAUCUACAUGCACUGGUCAGUGGUCACACUGGGCAGACGAGACUGGCAAACGGCAUGGCGACAUUCGUCAAUCCAUCUUUUUUUUUUGUGAUUUUCUUUGUUUACCACAGAAUCGGUACAUUGGUGCACGACAUGCUCACCGUCACCGGCGCCAUUCAAGGCCGACUCGACACCUUCCUUUAUACGUGGUACAAAGUGAAAUUUUUUUAAUUUGGCUACUAUAACUCUUUGGUUUCUAUUUGAUAGUUAUUAUUCAAUCAUAGACUAAUUAUGUUUAAAAGAUCUAUCUCGUAAGUUAUAAAUAAACUUUACAAUUAGUUAUUUUUAUCUAUAUUUAAUGCUUUGUACAUAUGUCGAAAGAUUCAUUGUGACGAAGAAUCUUGAAAAUUUUUAAGAGCUUUUCAUAGAAAAAAGAACACAUGUCCACUUAGGCUCCGUUUGGUUGUCUUUGUUAAACUUUACCGCUCGUUAAAUCAAAUGUUUAGACACAUAUAUGAAGUAUUAAAUAUAAAUUAUUUACAAACUAAAAACACAGUUAGAGAAUAAUUUAUAAGACGAAUCUUUUGAGUCUAAUUAGUUUAUAAUUAGAUAUUAAUUAUCAAAUAAAAUAUUAUCUGUUAACAGCUUCAACCAAACACGGUCCAGCUAGCUCUUCAUUCUCUGAGGUCGGCGGAUGGGCCAAAAUGUUAUCAGCUGGACCAAGCCCAGCGUGCUCGUGUCGGUAGCAAUAGCGCCGGGCUCGCAGAGAUUCGGGGAUCGAGAGACUGACCCGGACGGCUCCUGAUGGCGAUGCCGCUUGCUUGCUGUGGUACCUGUACCUGCACGCCCAUGUGACCGCCAUUGACGCCUGACAGCUAUCUGAUGCUGCAUGCAUGGUUGAUGCCCCCUGCCUCGCACAGUGCCCAUGUCCCUUGGCAUGCAAUUGGCGAUCAAUCAAGAGGCAGUGGCCAGGGAUAUGAUCACACGAGACAACUUGCUUAAGACUAAGGGCCUUGUUUAGUUCACCCCGAAAACCAAAACCUUUUGAAGAUUCCACGUCACAUCGAAUUCUACGACACAUACAGAAAGCACUAAAUAUAAACGAAAACAAAAGCUAACUACACAGUUUACUUGUAAAUCGCGAGAUUGUUGACACCGUUUUUUGGGCACGUGUCCAGGAUGGCAGAAUAAAGUGGCAGUAUGCUGUUUACAAGAUGAAUUGCCGAUGAGGAUGGUUGCCGAUGAAGGAGAGGUCGGAUGUGACUAAGUCUGCAGGCAGUGAUGUGUUUAUGCCGAUGGCUAUAAUGGAGGAGUCUGCCGAUGACUAUGGCAAGGAGUCUGCCGAUGAUACGGAGGAGGGGUCCGGAAACUGCUGAUCGGUUUAUGGAAGAAUUUUAGAUUGUCACGGGAGAUAGCUUUGUUAUUUCCUUAUUUGUUUAAGUCGUUUUGUGUACGGAUUCCGUGUGAUUUGGAAUUCGAAUUCUAGUCGUGUUUAGUUGUAGCUCUUUGAGCAGGGUAUAAAUAUGAACCCUAGGGCCUUGUAAUGAGACAUCUAUCAAUCAAUCAAACAUACGUUUUUACUCAUAUUCCAGCAUCUACUUUCCGACGACUUCGUCAUACUUUUUUCCCUUUUAUUACGAGUUCUUAGGAAUUCGUCGACUUAAGCUCGACGUGUUCUCAAGUUCCGCGUGAGUACCUCUUAGCCGUGACAUCCGGGCGCAUCGCUGUUGUCAGGACUAAAGUAUUCGAGUUAUCACCUUUGCCGAUAGUAAGGUUAAAUCGGCUGGCACGCCUUAACGUUUGAAUCGGGUAUUAGCCCUUUGUGUUUGCAGAUCGAUUUUGCAUCAACAGAGAUAUAUCUUUUGAAUCUAGCUAGUCCAUAAUUGGACAAUAUUUGUCAAAUAAAAACAAAAAUGUUACAGUAGCGAACACCAAAAAUUUUCGGAACUAAACAAGGCCUAACAUAUCCAUGUAGGAGUAUAUGCUUUUUUAUCCCUCCAAAACUAAUCAUUUGAAUAAUUACAUUCUUCAAAAUUACAAGAACUUUGGUCCAACCAUCAACUAGAACCAUAUGUAGCCAAAGAUUAUUCCACUCCAGUAUCCACACUUUUAAAGGUAUACCCAGAAUUUUCGGCUGUAGAAGUAGGAGUAUUAUCUUUUGUGAACUUCACCUUGGGCAAUAUUUUAUUUGCCUUCUUCUCUUGCUAUAUCUGUUCCUACACUACAGUACUACACCACAACUUUUUAAGUAGUCGUCUAGCAGUCGAGCUUUUCGUCCUGUCGUUUUACCUCCUAGAAGAAACAGAAGAAGUAGGAUAACCAAUACUGGAACCAUACAAAACCGUUGGGGUUUCAUCAUUCGUAAAAGACGAAAAUUGUAUGGGACGGGGGCUCAUGCGCUGCGUGCCAUGGAAACAUCCCUGAAAUCAGAUCGGCUGCAUGAUGGCAUCCGCAACUCGCAAGCUGUGAUUCGUCCACCAAUCAGGCAUGUACUGUACACUUGAUUUUGCUCCCACUGGGGCCAACCUGUGACGCGGGCAAAAGACAAGAUCGCGCCUCGCGUGCUCGUCGGCGUCCAUGUGACGACCGUCCGUCCAGGAUGCACAUCGCAGCUGUGCCCUGCUGCCGCGCGCCAUCGAUCCAUCACACUCACUCGCCAGCUGCAACACCAUCACCACGUACCACUGUAGCUAGUUUAGUGCCCUUCAACACACUGUGUAACCUCUAUGCUUAGCCAGUUUUUUUUUUAUUAUUUUUAUGCUAAGGCUAUGCUUAGCCAGUUAAUUAGCCACACUCUAGAAACAGAGCAUGGCCCUAGCUCCCCAGGCGCCAGCUCUCCCUCCCUAGCUAGUCCCUAUAAAUACGCUCGCACUCGUCGAGUCUCGGCAUCCAGCCAGCAGCCCAGCAGCCACCCCCAGUCUAGCCAGUGGCCACUGUUGCGUGUACUAGGUGGUAGACCGACCGACGAUGGCGACGACGACGACGGCGCGGGUGCCGCCGCUGCUGGUUGCGGCCGUUGCGGUGGCGGUGGCGGUGCUGGUGGAGGUGGCGACGGCGGCGGCGCCGCGGAAGCCCGUGGACGUGCCGUUCCAGAAGAACUACGUGCCGACGUGGGCGCAGGACCACAUCCACUACGUGGACGGCGGGCGGGAGGUGCAGCUGUACCUGGACAAGUCCACGGGGACGGGCUUCCAGACGCGGGGCUCCUACCUCUUCGGCCACUUCAGCAUGCACAUGAAGCUCGUCGGCGGCGACUCCGCGGGCACCGUCACGGCGUUCUACGUACGGUCGUCGUCCUUCCUAGCUUUUGUUUGUUGCUCUGUUGUGCUCUCUUCGCCUCGCCACUUGUUGCCGGCCGGCGGCGGCGGAAGCUGUAUGUGUGACUGGUGGCUGAACUCGAUCCAUUUGCAUGCCUGCGUGUCGUUGCAGCUGUCGUCGCAGAACUCGGAGCACGACGAGAUCGACUUCGAGUUCCUGGGCAACCGGACGGGGCAGCCCUACAUCCUGCAGACCAACGUGUUCACCGGCGGCAAGGGCGACCGCGAGCAGAGGAUCUACCUCUGGUUCGACCCCACCAAGGAGUACCACUCCUACUCCGUCCUCUGGAACCUCUACAUGAUCGCGUAAUUAAGCACCUAGUAUCCAUCAUCGCAUUCGCAUCACCUGCACUCGCAUUGGCUACUACAGUACCUCACUGCUCACCGGCCGUGCAGGGUACCACUGCCGCACGGCAUUACUACAGUAUUACUGAAAAAGUGUAAAAGAUGAUUUUGAAUUCAUGCUGUCUUAAAGGCAGACAGUAAAAUCUUGAAUCUAGAUUGCGCGCGCGUGCCUCCAUGUGCAGGUGCCGACGCAUAUAGUCGUACACACGGCACUACACGCCACUGUCUGAACCCUGCACACCAACAUGUCCGGCCACUGUGCGACGGCGACGGCACGGCCCCAAUCGCAUCCUCGUACACCGUGCGUAAUCCUACUACGCUUUCCUGCAGGUUCUUCGUGGACGACGUGCCGAUCCGUGUGUUCAAGAACACGAGCUCGGACCUGGGGGUGCGGUACCCGUUCAGCCAGCCGAUGAAGCUCUACUCCAGCCUGUGGAACGCCGACGACUGGGCGACCCGCGGCGGGCGGGAGAAGACGGACUGGUCCAACGCGCCCUUCGUCGCCUCCUACAGGGGAUUCCACGUCGACGGCUGCGAGGCCUCCGCCGAGGCCCGCUACUGCGCCACCCAGGGCGCGCGCUGGUGGGACCAGCCCGAGUUCAGGGACCUCGACGCCGCGCAGUACCGCAAGCUCGCCGACGUCCGCCGCCGCUACACCAUCUACAACUACUGCACCGACCGCGACCGCUACGCCGCCAUGCCGCCCGAGUGCGCGCGCGACCGCGACGUCUGACGACACUGAUUCCUGAUACGGUACCAAGGGCCAAGGGGUGUGCUGCUUGUUGAUCCAUCGAGAGCAGCCAUGUAAUGUACGUAUCGUAUUGUAUUGUGUGUGUGUGUGUGUGUGUGUCAGGUUCGUCAUAUGGGUGAGCACGUGCACACUUACUACACAUGCUUUGUGUUGUACCGUGUACUGUAUCUGCUCAUAGCGAAAUGAAUUGAUCUUAUUUGCAUUGCAGUUUUUAGUACUACUAUAAAAAUUUAGCUUAAGUUAUGUUAACUCUUAUCUAUGUUUGGGACAUCAUAAAUCAUUAUUUUAGCUUUUCAAGUAUUUGUCUUGUUACUUCUUGUAUUUUUUUUUAAUCUAUGUAUGUCCAAACUCUAGCUCUGGCUGUAUCUUUUUUAUUCCAAAUUUUUUUCUUAGACCUUGUUUAGUUACACCCAAAAUCUUAAUAUUUUUUAAAAUCACUACAAGAAACACAUGGCUUUUUAACGUUUAGUUAUGUCACAAUAUAUGUAAUUUAUGUUACAAAUUAAGAUUUGUGACAUCAAGUUGACAAAAAUGAAAACGUGGAAAAACCCGCUGUUGAUGCAAAAGCUGAAUCUGCAAACACAAAGGGCUAAUACCCGGUUCAAACGUUAAGGCGUGCCAGCCGAUUUGACCUUACUAUCGGCAAAGGUGAUAACUCGAAUACUUUAGUCCCGACAACAGCGAUGCGUUCGGAUGCCACGGCCAAGAGGUAUUCACGCGGAACUUGAGAAUACGCCGAGCUUAAGUCGACGAACUCCUAAGAACUCAUAAUGAAAAAAAGAAAAUAUGAUGAAGUCGUCGAAAAAGUAGAUGCUGGAGUAUGAGUAAAAACUUGUGUUUGAUUGAUUGAUAGAUUACAAGGCCUUAGGGUCUACAUUUAUACCCUGCUCAAAGAGCUACAACCAGACACGACUAGAACUCGAAUUCCAAAUUUAAACAGAAUCCGUGUACAAAACGAUUUAAAUAACUAAGGAAAACAUAAAACUAUCCUUCCGUGACAAACUGGGACACCACUACGGACCAAUCGGCAAUCUUCGAGUCUUCCUUCCAUGCCAUCGGCAGACUCCCCAUCGGCAACGGUUAAUACUGGCCAUCGGCAUAAACACAUCUCCACCCACGGACUUAGCCAUGUUUAGCUGUCUUCCCAUCGGCAACCGCCCUCAUCGGCAACUCUUCUGCAGACCGGUAACCAUCACACUGUCUUGCCGAUCCACAUUCUAUCGAUCCGGGAUACGUGUCCAAAAACGGUGUCAACACAUGCCCCCCAAUUUCGGAGUAUGAAAUCAUUGAUGCUCUGAAAUUCUCUACAAUAAUGAUGCCUUUCCGCAAUUAAUUCUCCCAAUUUGGUAACUGACAGCCUUAAUCUGAACAACCCUGGUCCAAUUCCUCCGCAGAUCCCUCGAAAUCUUCAACCUCUCCAACGGACAUCUCCAUUUUAAUCGCCCAUCGGCAAUAUUACCGUUACCGAGAACUGCCGAUGGACUGACCAAGACAUCCUGUACGGCGAAGCAUCUUAUCCUUCCAAACGGACAUAUCUGCUUUAUUCGUCCAUCGGCAAUAUUACCGUUACAAUUGAAAGGUCCUUGUUUGGUUUUGGUAAUUGAGUGACAACUUAGGUGGACUAAUAGUGUUUAUGUGAGAUACACAGGAGAUUAGUCCACAGGUGAUUAUGUGAUGAUGGAGGAGCUCAUUGCAUAUGAGACAUGACAUGGAGUCAUGUGACCAAGGUGGAGAAGAUCAAGAUGAGGCUUGGCUUGAUGGACCAGUUGCAAGAGUGAAGGGCAAGUCGGAGGCUUUGAAGCGAGGGACCGCGUGUGACGGUGAAGCUUGAGUAAGACUUGGCGCCGAUGGACCGAGGCAACGGUGAAGAGCAAGUGAGGUCAAGAUCGAUGAACCAAUACGGUCACGUGAUGAUAUGAAGUGGAUCAUAUCAUUUGGUGAUUGGUUGGUGCAUGUGUUGCAUCAACAUUGGAGGAGAUGGAAUGGAAAGUGCAAGGCAAAGGUAUAACCUAGGGCAUUUCCAUUUCACCGGUCAUAGGUGUGUAGAGAAGUUUAUGACUGGAUUUAGGAUAGAUGGCCGUACUAUCAAGAGGGGCAAACUUGUUUGCAUAUCGGUCAUCUAGUGCCACUUGAGCGAUCUAAACUUUGCAUACAUGUUAGGAUCGAGUGGCGUGGCAAGUUGAGAGGCUAACUCCUUUGGGAAAAUGUUUGUAAAAAUGCUAACACACAUGCACAUGGUGGUGUACACUUGGCGGUGUUGGCACAUUUACAAAGGAGGUGGAGUUCCUAGGGUUGAGAGGGGUGUGGGUUCCUCUCUCCCUCCCGCCGAGCUUGCGAGGCGGGAUUCGGCGCUUUUGAGAAAAUUAAGUGCAUAUUUCCUAUUGCGCCGAUGGGAAAUUUGGAGAAGUUGCGGGAGUGUUUCACUCACCGGACGCUGGUGUUGGCAGCACCGGACGCUGGUCCAGAGCGUCCGGUGUGGUGUCUGUGGCUCAGGUGUGCAGAGCGCACCGGACGCUGGGUGGUUACUGUUCGAGCGUCCGGUGGUGCGUGACGUCAGUGAGUGUUUCUGACUGGAGAGCACCGGACGCUCAGGGUGCGUCCAGUGGCUUGCGUCCGGUGACCCUGCGACUUUGCGGAGCUCUCUGCGCACGAGUCCGGUGUGACGCAGUAGAGCGUCCGGUGGUGCUGUGCAGGCGCGCGUGCGUAGUAGCCGUUGGCGGCAACGGUCGAGUUCAAACGGCUAGUGACACGUGGCUAACGCCUCAGCACCGGACGCUGGGGGUUGAGCGUCCGGUGGCUCCCUGUGAGCGUCCGGUGUCCACGUGUUUUGCCCAGUGAAGGGGCAACGGCUAGUUUAGCCCUUGGGGCUAUAAAUAGAAGUGGUGGCCGGCCUUGGCUGGCGCUGAGCACCCUUGGGACUUAGUGUCCAUGCUUGGGGAGUGCUAGGAAAGCCUCUAACUCACUUGUGCUUGCAAGAGUGCGAAUCAAUAGCGAGUGAGUGAUUCUAGUACGUUGCAUUGAGAGAUUGCAUCGAGUGGCACUAGGUGUUCGUGUUGCAAGCCGGUGGUGCUUGUUACUCUUGGAGGUUGCCACCUCCUAGACGGCUUGGUGGCUUGUGACUCCGUCGAAGCACGCAAGGAGAUUGUUCGGUGCUCCGGAGAAGAGAUUGUGAGGGGUACGGUGCUCACCCCGCGGGGAUUGCGAAGAGCAACUCUAGUUGAGCGAGACGUGAAGAGCGACAAGUGGUCCGGCCGGGUCAAGUGCUAGAGCUUGUGGUAAGCACUCCAUGUGGGAGAGUGUGACUUGCGGGUCACCACUAGCAAGAGGACCGGCGGCAAACUUGGAGCUUGUCUCAACGGGGACGUAGCCUGGUGGCAACCAAGUGAACCUCGGGAGAAAAUCAUCGUGUCAACUUUGUUCUUCCUGUUGGUUUGUAAGUCCCUAACACAAGCUUGUUCUUACAUUCAUAUACUUGUGCUUGUGUAGUUGCUCUUGUAAUUAGUUACCUUGUGUAGCUUGCUAGUUACCUUCUUGCUUGUGUGGCUAGAAGUAGUUCUCCUUACGUGACUAAUUUGGUUUGUGUAACCUUGUUAGUCACAUUGCUUAGUUUGUGUAGCUAAGUAUUUUGAGCUCUCUAAUUUAGUAUUGGUUGCCUUGUUAUUGAGCAUUGCUAGUAAGCUUAGGAGCUUUGUGCUUUUGCUUACGAGUUGUGUAGGAGUUCCCCGGUUUGCAAAGUACUAGUGACAUAUGUUUGUGUGACCUUGCUUCUAGAAUUGGUUAAGUGAGCUCUUGCUAAGGUAGCACCUUGUUUGCUUGUUUAGGAUCUUUUUCAAGGUGCUAGAGAACUUAGAUAGAGGGGUGUAGUCUUGGCUAGACUGAUAGUUUUAAUUCCGCACUUAUUUCGGUUAGCCGGUGCGAUAAGUUUUAGAAUGGACUAUUCACCCCCCUCUAGUCCGCCAUCUCGACCCUUCAACAAUGCGAUACCGAUGGACCGACCAGGAAAUCUCACACAGUAAAAUAUCUCCAGAUCACGACCGCCUCCUGUCAAAUCACCUGUGCCAUCCCUUGAUUACCGUGCGAACAGUUACCAUAUCUUCCUAAGUAUCCUCGGAUUUCACGGAUACGGCGAAGUGAUAAGUCAGAUUUACCCUUGCCCAUUUUGUCCUAUGAAUAGUUCCUUCUCGGGUACUCCUUCUCCAUCACAUCAUUUUACAGCCCCAACUCUACUUUUCUGGCGACGACGCUGUUCGAGAGCUCCAAGAACUCCAGCGAAGGCUUUUCUCCACCAAUCUCGAAGUCUUCAAUCUCCUUCCUCGCGAGGAAAUGGCCAUCAACUUCACCGUUCCUGAGGUCAGUUCAUCACCCUAUCUCUUGUACCUUUACCACAUCCAUGUUUAUCCGCAAUUUAUUUUACUGAACAUUCUUCUUUUGUUCUUCCUUUACCUUCAAAACUAUUAGGAUCUGUCCAACAAAAUUGUCAUCCCCACAGAUCAGCCACACCUCCAAUGUCUUGGUCCAUUAGGGGAUCCAGAUCCCACCGAUCUUAUUAACGCGGAAACAAACAGAAUCCCCUUUAGAGCCGAAAAUUUUUCUCUGGAUCUAUGGAAGGAUACCUUCCGUUCCUGGCCCAGUCCUACCGUGGGAUGGAAGGAUUGGUUCUUGAGAGUCAGCCACUCAAAUGAAGUCUAGCGGGGUGAGAGAAAACUGGACCAAUGCAUCAGAUUGUCCAUUGCCGAUAUGCAUAGGAAUGAGUCACUGUUGAUAGCUGCAUCACAUUUCUGGUCAGACACACUCAAUGCCUUUGUCUUCGGCCACGGUCCUGCUUCCCCUACACUUGCCGAUGUGGUUAUGCUCACCGGCCUAGAUGUAUCUUCUGCCGAUAGCACCCACUUUUUUGAUACCAAACCCAGUGCUAAGGUAGAAACUCGCUCCAUCGGCGGUUGGUCAGGAUACAUCCAAAAAUACAAACGAACAGGCCCUGUUAACAUAAAGGAACAGACUAGCUUUCUAAACAUGUGGUUGGACAAAUUCGUAUUUUGUGGUCGAUCGGCAGGACCAACUUCCGUCUAUCUAGCAGCAGCAGAAAGAUUAGCCAACGGUGGCCGAUUCCCCCUCGGCCGAUACCUGCUCGGCGCAGCUUACCACCUCCUUCAUCAAGUAACUAGGAAACUCCUGCUCGGCCAGUCCAUCGGCAACUUGGGGGGUCCCUGGUGGUUUAUCAACAUGUGGCUCAGCCUCCACAUGCACAAGCGCCUUGAGUUUGACCUCUUUGCACAGCGCUUCCCCAGGGAUAUAGCCGAGGACUAUGAACUAGAUGAAGAAGAAUCGGCAACUCGCCCUCCUCGGCAACUCGCCCUCCUCUAAACUUUGGCGGGGUUGCCAUAGUCCUGCCCGGUACAGGAGGCAAUGCAGACCAGGUCAGCCGAUUCUUCCAAACCCUGUAUGAAGGCUUGACCAGAGAACAGCGAGCAUGGAUGCCUUAUGAAGAUCCAGACACCAUGUUUCCUUUGGUCUUCCAUCCGUUCAACAAUGCUCUCAACAAGGAUCACGAAGUGACGAUGGCACUGAUCACUUCCAGAGCUAUACAAGUAAACUUCUUCGGCAGUGGGAAAACCUCCAACCAAACCUAUGAGUUUUACAACCCAUCGGCACUAGCCCGUCAACUAGCUUUCGGCCAGCUGCCGAUUGCACUCUGUUAUGCCGAUGUGACAAAACCCAGGGAAGCCAUCACUAACCUUCUCGAGUGGAUCCGAGUAGCCCAGCUGUCACCGAAUGCCGACACAGAUGUAGAUCUAUCAGAGUGGAUCCCAGCCCUCUUCAUUACUCAGUCGUACAAACAAUGGUGGGAGGAAUGGAAGGAACAUUUGUUCUCCAAAUCAGCUCUUACGUACCGCGGUAUGAUCGACCCCCAGUACAAAGUUCCCGACAAUACUGUAAGCGUUUCCAAACCGAUGUUUCAAUUCCUCCAAUUUUAUCUCCAUCGGUAACUCACUUUCUGUAUUAUAUUGCAGGUUGAUAAUAUUCCCCCAUCGGUCAGCAGGAGUGGCAAGCCGAUUGACCUUUUUCCAUCAGGUCCGAUCUCUUCAAUCGGCAACAACGCUCCCACUUUGGCUGCCAUCACGCAUCGAGGCAUGCGCCUCAAAAAAGUCACCACCAAGAGAACUCAGAUAUCUCCAUCGGUAGCUGCCUCUGCUUUGGCACAGGCAUUCAAGGUACAUUUUCAAACUCUUUCAUACCGAUCUCAUUCUUACAUCUGUUGCACUUGUACUCACAAAUUUCCCUUUCUGUAUCAGCACACCGGCGCAUCGGCAAGGACCAGAAGCAAAAGUGCCGAUGCCCCCCAGUCUAGUCAGCCGAAGAGAAAAGGUGCCAAGAAUACCAGAGCACAAGCAAAGCGCCAGAAGACAGCAACGCCUUCUCCUCCCCUAGAAUCACCAAUCCCAGUAGAAUCUUCUUCUUCCUCUCUAGAAGCCCAGAUGCAACAAGCACCAUCUCCCCCUCAGCCGCAAGAAGCACCCCAAGUGGAAGAAAUCCAACCAGUAGGACCUCAGUCAGAAGUACCUCAGCCUGAAGACAGAUCAACUGAUGCAGGCGAGCAGACUACCGAUCCAGCAGGCUCAAUCAUAGCAUCGGUAGUUUUCUCGAUCCAGACAAGCACUGCACCUCCUCAGGGUAAUACAUUUUUACAAAGUCAUUGCCGAUGAAUCUACUUUCCUGAUCUCAUAACUUCUACUAAUUUUUUAGCUGACAUAGUCCCAUCGGCAGCCCCAACCGAUCUGCCUGUAGUGCCAUUGACAUCUUCCAGUCAAAGGUGAGAAAUUACCUUGAAACAAGUAAGUCAUCCAAUCUUCAUCAGUAUUAUUUGUCCAUACCUGACCAUGGAAUGACUCACUUUAUUUCUCUUCCAGGAACAGGACUCUCCCGACAGCUUGUUUUCCUUUGCCAUUGACAUCUCUGAAGACGAAGGUGAGGAAGCAAGCUCUUCUCGGGCAGUUGGGAUCACAUCGGUAGAAAUCAGGGCGAAAUUGGAAGAAUCAUCGGCCCUCCUUCACUAAGACAUAGCCCAACUGGUUGAUGACUCCGACCCAGCCAAGGCCCUGUUCAAGACCCUCAGAGGCCAAAUUCCUACCGAUGCUGAAGAAAUCCUCUUUCAAGCUGCACAUCUGGAGAGUCGUCAGCUGCAGUACCAGAGGGCCGCCCAACGUCUUGCCAAUAGAGCUGCCCAGACUCAACUUUCUGAGGAGAUGAUGAAAGUGAAGCUCCUCGCCAAUGAGAAACAUAAGAACAUCGGCACCUUGAAGUCCUCAGGAGAUGCACUGAAGCACAAGAUCUCUGAUCUGUCAGCAAAAAGAGAAGCCCUGUUGGCAGAACUCAAGCAAGUGGAAGAAGCCUUGUCCCAAGCCCAACAAGAGGAAAACCAGCUGCCCGAGGCAAUCAAACUCCUUGAGCAAGAGCGAAAUGUCUAUGGCCGUAAAGCACUGCAACUGAAGAAGAAGUUGAAGCCAGUGGAAGGUUCUGCCGAUGAAGACAUCAAAGAAAUAGAAGCAGCCAACCAAAUCCGCUUGCGCGCUAUAUCGGCCACCCAGGCGCUGCUAAACAUGUGAGUUCUUCAUCGGCAACAUACUUGCCCCUCUCUGCUUUCCAGCUUUCCUAAUAUUUGGUCUAGCCGAUAGGACUGUUAUCGACACCUUUUAAAACACUGAGUUUUACCCCCAGAUGCAUUUUGAUCUAGCCGAUAGGAAUGUUAUCGGCACCUAACUUUUAUGCAUCGACCCAUAUGCUGGGGUAGUACUUCUUUAGAUAUUUGCCAUUUAAUGCUCUAGGAAAUUCAACUCCUUCGAGAGUUUCUAAAAUAUAGGCAUUACCAGAAGCCGAUCGACUUAUCCGAUAGGGACCUUCCCAAUUGGGAGACCACUUCCCAAAUUUUGAACUUUUAGUCCCGAUCGGUAAGAUUAAUUUCCAUACUAAGUCUCCAUCAACAAACUCCUUAGCCUUCACUUUCUUAUCAUACCAUCUGGCAACUCUCUUCUUAUUCUCUUCUAUACUCAUUAAGGCCCUCAGCCGAUGUCCUGCUAGAUCAUCUAACUCGUCUGUCAUCAAAGUAGCAUAAUCAUCGGCAGCCAAUUGAUCUUGAAAAGAUAGUCGCCUAGACCCAGUCUUAAUUUCCCAAGGUAACACAACAUCAUGCCCAUACACCAACUGAUAAGGUGAAACCUUGGUCGAUCCAUGACAAGCCAUCCGGUAUGACCAUAAAGCUUCAUUUAACAAUGUGUGCCACCUUCUAGGAUUUUCUUCAAUCUUUCGUUUGAUAAGCUUGAUAAUUCCUUUAUUAGAUGCCUCGGCCUGCCCAUUAGCUUGAGCAUAAUAAGGAGAAGAGUUUAAUACUUUAAUUCCCAUACCGAUUGCAAAUUCAUCAAAGUCCCCAGAUGUGAACAUAGUACCCUGAUCGGUAGUGAUUGUUUGAGGAAUUCCAAAUCGGUAGAUAAUAUGCUCUUUCACAAAAUCAAUCAUAUUAGCCGAUGUAACUUUCUUCAAAGGAAUAGCUUCAACCCAUUUGGUGAAAUAAUCGGUGGCAACCAAGAUAAACAUAUGUCCUUUGCUAGAUGGUGGAUAAAUUUGACCGAUCAAAUCAAUAGCCCAUCCCCAGAACGGCCAAGGCUUGAUGAUAGGAUUCAUGGCCGAUGGAGGUGCCCUUUGAACAUUGCCAAACUUCUGACAUCCUUGACACCCUUUGAAAUACUUAAAACAAUCCUCAAGUAUAGUCGGCCAAUAAUACCCAUUUCUUCUAAUCAUCCACUUCAUCUUAAAAGCCGACUGAUGUGCUCCACAUACUCCCUCAUGUAUUUCUCCCAUCAAAUUCUUAGCCUCAUCAUCGCCUAAGCAUCUGAGAAGAAUCCCAUCAACAGUUCGGUAAUAUAACUCACCCUCGAGGAGCACAUACUUGGUGGCUUGAAACCGAACAUGUCUCUCCACUUUCUUAGAUGGAUCCUUUAAAUAAUCAAUGAUUUCUUUUCUCCAAUCAUCGGCACUGACUGCCGAUAUUGCAUUAAUCAUGGGCUGAUAUCCCGAGGCAUGCUGAGCCAACCGAUUGGCCUCUUCAUUAUGCAAUCGAGGAACAUGCUCCAAUCGGAAAUCCUUGAAUUCCUUUAACAGUUGCAUACUCCUAUCGUGAUAAGUUAUGAGGACCUCACUUCGGCAUUCAUAGCUUCCAGCCAAUUGAUUUAUAACUAGCAUAGAAUCUCUGAAGAUCUCAACAGCAUCAGCAUGAACUUCUCUUAGUAACUCCAAUCCCUUUAUCAAAGCUUGAUACUUAGCCUGAUUAUUUGUUGACAUGGCAACAAUCUGCAAAGAGAAUUCAUAUUUCCUUCCCCGAGGGGAAAUUAACACUAUGUCGAUUCCUGCCCCCCGGUCACACGUGGAUCCGUCAAAGAAAAGCGUCCAAGGUACAAUCUCCAAAGCCUCCACUGUACCAUAAUGUUGAGUCACAAAAUCGGCCAUAACCUGUCCUCUAACCGCUUUAGCCGAUUCGUAACGCAGAUCAAAUUCUGACAAUGCCAAAAUCCACUUACCGAUCCUGCCACUCAUGAUCGGCAUAGAUAGCAUGUAUCGGACCACAUCAUCUUUGCAAAUAACCGAGCAUUCGGCCGAUAGCAAAUAAUGCCUUAACUUAAUACAGGAGAAGUACAAGCAUAAGCACAGUUUCUCAAUAGCCGAAUACCUAGUCUCAGUAUCAAUCAACCUCCUGCUUAAAUAAUAAAUCACACGUUCCUUCCCUUCAAAUUCUUGAAUCAAAGCCGAACCGAUGACCAUUCCAUCGGUAGACAAAUACAGCUUGAAGGGCUUCCCUUGCUGAGGUGGAAUCAGAACUGGAGGAUUCACCAAAUAAUUCUUGAUCUCAUCCAAGGCCAACUGUUGUUCUUUCCCCCAAACGAAUUCUUGAUCGGCUUUCAACUUAAGUAAAGGACUGAAAGCACGAAUUUUACCAGACAAAUUAGAUAUAAACCUCCUGAUAAAAUUUACCUUGUCGAUCCAGGAUUGGAGCUCAGUCUUGUUGGUAGGAGCAACUAUUUUGUUGAUAGCAUCAAUGGAUCUUCAACUAAUUUCAAUCCCUCUUUGAUGCACCAUGAAACCAAGAAAUUAUCCUGCCGAUACACCAAAUGCACACUUAUUGGGAUUCAUUUUCAAACCAUGCUUCCUUGUGCAUUCCAACACCUUUCGUAAAUCGGCAAGAUGCUUUGUGAAGUCUCCAGACUUAACCACCACAUCAUCAAUAUAAAUUUCCACCAGCUUGCCGAAGAACUCAUGAAAUAUAAAAUUUAUGGCUCUUUGAUAAGUGGCACCAGCAUUUUUCAAGCCAAAGGUCAUGACUAUCCAUUCAAACAACCCAACAUGAUCAGGACAUCUAAAUGCAGUCUUUGGAAUAUCUUCUUCAGCCAUGAAUAUUUGAUUGUAUCCUGCAUUGCCAUCCAUAAAGCUGAUAAUCUGAUGUCCAGCCGCAGCAUCAACUAGCAGAUCGGCAACUGGCAUUGGGUAACCGUCCAUCGGUGUAGCUUUGUUAAGAUUCCUGAAAUUAAUGCAGACCCGAAGCUUCCCAUUUUUCUUAUAGACCGAAACAACAUUGGAAAUCCACUCGGCAUACCGACACUGCCGAAUAAACUUAGCUUCAAUAAGUUUGGUUAUUUCGGCCUUAAUAUCAGGAAGAAUAUUAGGAUUACAUCAGCGAGCUAGCUGUUGAUGUGGCCGAAAUCCAGACUUGAUAGGCAACCGAUGUUCAACAACUGAUCGGUCCAGACCAGGCAUCUCAGUAUAAUCCCAAGCAAAGCAAUCUUUAUAUUCUUUUAACAAAUCAGUUAACUGUCGCUUACACUCAGAACUUAAUUUAGCACUAAUAAAAGUAGGUCUAGGUUUAUCACCACUACCUAUGUCUACCUCUACUAGAUCAUCGGCCGAUGUGAAUCCCUGGCCUAAUUUUCCAUCAUCGGCGAACCUAUCCAUCAAAAACCUUCGUCAGAACCGACUGCUUGGAUCGGUGGAAUUUCAUAAUCGGCAACCUUGAGAAAAUCCUUUUCCCAAACUUCUCCUGAAAUACACCUAGUUCUUUCGUAGGUGUCUGCCUCUGCCGAUGCAAUAACAUAGGAAGAAUCUCCCGGGACAAUCUCAAUCUUGUCACCUACCCACUGGACCAAGCACUGGUGCAUUGUAGACGGGAUGCAACAAUUGGCAUGGAUCCAAUCUCUUCCCAGCAACAAGUUAUAAGCCCCUUUUCCACUGAUCACGAAGAAGGUUGUCGGCAAGGUUUUGCUGCCGAUGGUCAACUCAACGCAUAUCGCCCCCUUAACUGGAGACACGUUGCCCAAAAAGUCUUUGAGCAUCAUAUCGGUCUUGGUCAAAUCCUGAUCCCCUUUUCCAAGCUUCCGAUAUACUAUAUAUGGCAUGAUGUUGAUAGCAGCUCCACCAUGAAUUAAAAUCAUGGUCAUUAUCUGACCAUCCACCCUUCUUUUGACAAACAAAGCCUUCAGAUGUUGCCUUUCAUCAUCGGCAGGCUUUUCAAAGAUGGCUGUCAUCGGAUCCAGAGCCAACUGAGCUAUUUGGUCGGAAAACUCCAACUUAUCAUUACUGGACGGCGGAAGGAAUUCCAUCGGCAACAUAAAUACCAUGUUGAUGUCUGCCGAUGGCCCCUUUCCCUUAGGAUCUGAUUGUUGCUGAUCCCCAGACUGGCUAGAGUUCUCGCCCUUGCUUAACUCUUCUCGUCUUUCGCACUGCAGUCUUCUCUUCUGCGUCCUGGUCAACCCCUCUGGACACCAUGGAGGAAGUUGUUGCUGCCCUACCGAUGGGCGAUGAUUCUCCCUCGACUCCAUCCGAUAAAUAUUGGCGUCCCUACAGAAGAUGAACUCAUCGGGAACCCGCGCAUUAGCCAUCUCUUCAAGUUCUUCCUGGUUCCUGGGAAAAUACUCAACACGGUUGCCGAUCCUGUCGUGCACACUGAGCCUGCCCCCAGCCGGUCAUGAACGGACGCUCUCCCCCUAAUCGGCCCACUAAACCGCCGAUCAUCGUGAUAGCGCCGAUCGGAUCUGUCAUACUGAUCAUAAAGGACAAUCUCUGACAGUAGGAAGCUUGAUAUUUUCCUCCCAACAAUGGAUGAAGAACGGACAAUUCCAGUGAUCCCUAUGCCGAUUCCACUCCUGUCGGUGUCUUUCUUCUUCCCGACGAUAGUCCUCUUGCUGGCGUCGAUACCGAUCCUCACGUUGCUGCCAAGUUUCCCGAGGCCUUCUGUGAGUUAUUACGAUACCAGAUCGGGGAGGCCUCCCUGAGUUAGUUCCCUCCUGGAUCAAGCCUUUUCCUUUUGCAUCGGCAGUAGUGAUCUGAUACUGAGGAUCCACCGAUGCACUUCUUUCAGCUGCUUCCGAUGUUAAGACCUUGGCCUUUCCCUUCGAAUCCAGCAUGUUUGUUGGGAAAGGAUGUUGAUCAAUCUUCAUUGGCUUCUGAGUUUUGGAGCUAUCAAAUUUGAUCCUUCCAGACUCUAUAGCCGAUUGCAGCUGUUGUCUAAAAACUUUGCACUCAUUGGUGCUGUGAAAAGUUGCAUUGUGCCAUUUACAGUACUUCAUCCUUUUUAACUCUUCGGCCGAUGGGAUUACAUGGUUAGGUGACAAUUUGAUUUGACCUUCCUGAAGUAGAAAGUCAAAUAUCCUAUCGGCCUUUGUGAUGUCAAACGUGAACUUUUCUGGCUCCUUGUGCCCAAAAGGACAAGACAUCGGCUUCUUAUUUUUUACCCAUUCUGCCAAGCCGAUAACUGGUUCCUCAUCAGAAUCCAAGCUUGUUGCUUCAUCAACGAACGAUACCUUUUUGUUCCAUGCUCUUUUGGGCUCAAAAGGCUUGAUAUCUUGAUCAGAAAUUCUCUGCACCAAAUGACUUAAGCUUUCAAACUCCUGAGAUGCAUACUUGUCCCUAAUAUGUGGCAACAAGCCCUGGAAAGCCAAAUCGGCUAGCUGCCGAUCAUCCAGAACCAGGCUAUAGCAUUUGUUCUUGACUUCCCGUAUCCUCUACACAAAAUUUUCAACCGAUUCAUCAUUGCGUUGCUUCAAUUUGACCAAAUCGGUGAUCUUCUUCUCGUAGACUCCAGAAAAGAAGUAUUUGUGGAACUGCUUCUCUAGAUCAGCCCAAGUAAUCACUGAGUUAGGAGGUAACGAUAUAAAUCAAGUGAAAGCCGAUCCAGACAAUGAUGAUGAGAAUAAGCGAACCCUCAACUCGUCCCUGUUAGCAGCUUCUCCACACUGAAUGAUGAACCUGUUGACAUGCUCCAUGGUUGAUGUAUCAUCCUGCCCAGAAAACUUAGUAAAAUCCGGCACUUUGUACCGAUUUAGAAGUGGGAUUAAAUCAUAUGCAGGAGGAUACGUUGUCCGAUAAGAGUAAGUAUUGACUUUGGGUUUUAUCCCAAAUUGAUCUCUCAUUACUUCAGCAAUCUUAUCGGCCCAAUAAGCAUCGGCGUCUUGCCGAUGAGGCGGUUGUGGAUCUGGCAUCUGCUGGUAAGCUUCCACAUGUCUGUGCGGUGCACGAUCUGCAUGGAACAUUGGAUUAAUCAUUUGGCCACCAACUUGCUGACCACCGAGCUGCUGGCCGAGAUUCAUCGGCUGAUUUACCAAUCCCUGGUUCUGAAACCCAGGGUAGAUCUGACUUUGUUGAAAACUCGUAGCCUGAUGAUUCUGUUGAGACAUGUGUGGAAAGACUUGCUGCUCAGGCCAUCCACUAUUAGCGCUCAUCAGCUACCCGAUGACUGGUAGUUGGGCAUCAUCAUUGAACCGACAUACCCUGGUUGAGUCAUAAGCCUCUGCUGCAUCAGCAUUGAAUCUGCCGAUGCGUUAGGUAUCUGGAACGUUGGAGCUUGAGAAUUCCCCAUGUAAGGCCUUGCAGUAGUGGUUGUAGUAUACCGGGGACUCUGAUUCAUCAGCAUAUUUGGAGGUGCCGAUGCCAUAGGAGCCUUGCCUCUCAUAUCAGCCGCCUGAGACAUGCCAGGUGUCUUCAACAAGUAUUCCGGAGGCAUACCGAAACCCCACCAGUUAGGAGGAGGGGCUAACCCUAACAUUGCCGAUGCCAAUAGAUCUGUAGUAAGCUUAAUCUGCUCACCUGAAGUCGGUGGAUUAGUCGUCAUCGGCGUAGAUUGUGCAUUAGUGACUCCUAACGUGCUUGGAGGAACAACAGUUUCUGUGUCGGCACCAAUGGAGCUGUGACCACUGGUGAUCCUGGCUGAUGAUGAGAAGGGCCCACAUAGUUUGGUGGCAACUGUCUUUUCUUAAAAGUUCUAGCCACGGCAUUGAAAACCGUAUUGGACAGCACACCAGCUUGAUUGAUCAAAGCACGGUUAAUAGCAUUAUCAACCAUGCCUUGAAGUUUACCAGGAUUGACAUCAAAAGUAACCUGCCGAGGCAUCGGCAGUGCUUCCUUCUGGAUCACCUCGCCGCUCCUGUUUAUGCUGAAGGACCUCAAGCAUUGCUGCUUGUAAUCCUCCAUGGCUUUAGCAAUAGCUUGCUUCUACCCAUCCUUGAGAUUGGCUUCCGUCACGGGAAUGACAUUCUCCUGAUCGAACUCUGUAGUCGACAUGUCGAUCUUGAUCUUGAAUCAGUCCCACUGGGCGUGCCAAAAGAUAUGUUGAUGCAAAAGCUGGAUCUGCAAACACAAAGGGCUAAUACCCGGUUCAAACGUUAAGGCGUGCCAGCCGAUUUGACCUUACUAUCGGCAAAGGUGAUAACUCGAAUACUUUGGUCCCGACAACAGCGAUGCGCCCGGAUGCCACGGCCAAGAGGUAUUCACGCGGAACUUGAGAAUACACCGAGCUUAAGUCGACGAACUCCUAAGAACUCGUAAUGAAAAAAGGAAAAUAUGACGAAGUCGUCGAAAAAGUAGAUGCUGGAGUAUGAGUAAAAACUUGUGUUUGAUUGAUUGAUAGAUUACAAGGCCUUAGGGUCUACAUUUAUACCCUGCUCAAAGAGCUACAACCAGACACGACUAGAACUCGAAUUCCAAAUUUAAACAGAAUCCGUGUACAAAACGAUUUAAAUAACUAAGGAAAACAUAAAACUAUCAUUCCGUGACAAACUGGGACACCACCACGGACCAAUCGGCAAUCUUCGAGUCUUCCUUCCAUGCCAUCGGCAGACUCUCCAUCGGCAACAGUUAAUACUGCCAUCGGCAUAAACACAUCUCCACCCACGGACUUAGCCAUGUUUAGCUGUCUUCCCAUCGGCAACCGCCCUCAUCGGCAACUCUUCUGCAGACCAGUAACCAUCACCCUGUCUUGCCGAUCCACAUUCUACCGAUCCGGGAUACGUGUCCAAAAACGGUGUCAACACUCGCGUCAUAAAAUGAUUAUGUGACAUUUGUUUGGUUCAUGUCACAAGCAUAUGACAUUGGUUUAUUGUCAUAAAAUCGUAGGCCUUGCCACGUGGCAGCUGACAUGGCAGGGAGAAAAAAUGUCACAAAACAAGUUUUGGCCUACUAAAGCCCACAUAGCUCAUGGGCCUGAAAUCUAUUUAGAGUGGUGUUAGCUGGUCCAUUAUUUUCAAUUACAGCCCAUAUAGAUUUCGAGCCCACAAAAAUUCAGCCCAUAUAAUAUUUUUUUACUCUCAUAAUACAUCCCGUAUUUUAUCCACAUAUUUCAGCCCAUAUUUUUCCCAAGCCCUAAAAUUCAGGCUAUUUUUUUCCCAGCACACACAAUUCAGCCCAUGUAAUUGCAUUCAUAUAAUUUUUCAACAUAUAAAACAUUAGAUCCAAAUGAUUUAACAUCUCCAUAGUAAAUAUAAUAUCAUCACUGAGACUUUAUAUCAGUUAAAUUUUGGCAUAAGCAACUCAUACAACAUCAAUUGCAUAAUACAUGUUCAUACAUAAAAAACAUUCCAGCCACAUUCUAGUCAUAUUCCAGUCUUCUAGCCACCAAACUACAACACCGUACACAGAAUUAACACGCACCUAGCUACACAAGGCAAAAGUACCAAAAGUUUUCCGCUGUUGGUUACAGCCCAGUCAUCCUCCAAGUUCAACUGCACAAAAGUACCAGCCUCACAGAAGUACCAACCAGCAGCCAGCAACACAUUCCAGCAACCAUAAUCUUCUACUGCAACGUGCACAGACUAGACCAAAAAAGAUCCAAUAGCUCACUUAAAAAGAUCUAUCAGCCAUGGUCACAAUUUGGUGGAUGCACAACCACCACAGAGCUUGGGUUAACUAGCAUGUCAUGGCACUACCUGAAAAUAAAUACAUACAAAAGCAUUCAGUGACUAUUUAAGAAAUGUUAGAGCCUAGGUGAAGUUGUAUCAUAAGAAAUGUCAGAGCCUCUGUAUCAAACGUCCAACUCAAACAAAAGUAGAGUUCCUAGACACCAUCUCACUAUGAAGAUUUCCUAAGCAUACCAUUUAAAUAAGCAAAGCAUAUGUCAACAGAUGAAACCAUCUCACGCUAUUAGCAUACUAAAGUUACAGUUUGCUACUGAACAUGUUUUAGUUUAGAGAACAUCACCUUUGCUCCCUUCACUCAGGAUCUCCAUCCUUGUUUUCUCUAGUGACACUGCACAUACAAACGCCACUGCAUUUACCUAAAGAUUUGUCACCAUUUCUGCUUUCUAUGAAUGAAAAGUGCAAAGCCAGUAUAAAUGUAUACUGGGGGUAAAUACUACAAAGUACAAGUCCACUACAGAUGUGUACAGGACUACAGAGAAUGAACUACAAAGUCCAGUACAGAUGUACAAUACAGAGAAUAAACUACAAAGUGCAUGUAUAGUAAAUAGAAUGCAGCACAACGCAGGUCGUUGAUGUUCAGAUACAGGUAAUGUGUCCAUAUGUUUGACCAAAAAUAUAGCUAAAUUAAUAUUGUGGUGACACCACAUCACCAAGUGAGUAAGCGGAAAUGCACAUAUGAAAGUGGGAGAACCUUUGAAAUUAUGAAGAGGUUCAUAUAUACUUUUGAUAGUGGCACUAAAAUAAUUUUUUAGAGUAUUACACUGUAUACAUGUAAUUCCUUUCAGUACCACCGUGCGGCUGCGGAACCUGCUUAGACACCAGUACAGGUAUGCCAUGGCAACGCCCGCAGCCGCCGCGCACGAGCGUCAGUCCGUGGAGUACCCACACGCAGGCAACCGAGCUUGACGACGACUAGGAGUCAGAUGAUGGCGAGCAUAUCAGCAUCACGGAGUUCGCGCCGGCAUGGCCCCCUCCCCUAGAUCUACCACACGCUAAGCUCUUGCAAACACUGACACGAUUGAACCAGGGAGAGAGAGUGAGGGAAAGCAGAGAUUGAGGAGAGGAAAGAGAGAAGAGAUGAGGAGCUAGCUCACCAUCGCCCACAAGCCAGAUCCGUCACGGCUGGAUGAAAGAUGCAUUGUGAUAGUGAUCUGGGAGCACCUCUGCUGCACCGGCUCCUCUGUGGCACGAAAACUCAGCCAGGAUGACGCCUUUGCGACAUUGAGGACUCGAUCUGGUGUAUUCUUGCCGUUGGACGUCUUCAUCCCUCCUUGGCGCUAUCGUCUUGCUCGUGGGAGGGAGGCAAGGGGUGGCCGCGGGUUCUGGAAGGACGAAAGGAGGGAAAGGCGUUUUCUUGUCCGGCGGCUGUGGUGAUGUGGGAGUGGGGAAUUAUUCGUAGGGUUAGCUUCGCCUAUAUAUGAGUGGUACUCAAAGUGAAAAAGUUCGAAAUUGACCUCAUAUAGGAUAAGGUAGUUGCACAGCUAGUGUGGACAUAUAUGACUUUUCGCAUCAAAAUGGUGGCGCGACAGGCAUUUUGGUUUGGCGCACGCGGGAUCUGAAAUUUUUGGCUAUUUGGAAAAAGCUGCAGCCACAUUAUCUACUAUAUAUAUAGGGUGCAUUUUCAUAUGCCACUGAAUUCUAUCGAGAGCUACGCGGGUCUGUGCAGAGUAGGAUCCGAUAGUAGCAUCUUGCAUCUGAUGUGCCUCCGUGGAUAACUUUGUAUAUUCUAACAUAAACUAAAUUAUUUAAUUAUUUAGAAGUAUGUAUAAAUACAUAGUAUCAUUUUUUAUUUAAUUAUUUGGGAGUAUGUAUACAUACAUAAUAUCAUUUGCCUAAUUUUCUACUUAAAUCAAAUCAUCUUCUCUUGGAUACAAGGCAUUCUCUCAUUGUCUCUGGCAGCGGCGGCGAUCUUUGUUUCUCUGUAUUUGUUGUCGACAGUCACUUAGAAUUAAAAAGAGUAUUUCUAGAUAUGUUUCAAAGAAGUGUAUGUUUAGAUACUAAAAAAAGUGUAUGUUAGAUACUUUUUGAAAGAAGAGUAUGUUUAGAUAUGUUUCAAAAAGAGUAAAGUCCAUCAGCGGUCCCUAAACUUGUUCAGAUGUGUCAUCCCGGUCCUUAAACUCGCAAAAUGACCGUUUAGGUACCUAAACUUGUUCGGUUGUGUCAUCCUGGUCCCUAAACUUAAAAAUCUCCCAUAUAGGUCCUUAAACUUGUUUAGUUGUGUCAUCCCGGUCCCUAAACUUGUUUUUAAGUCUUAUCUAGGUCAAAACAGGACGAAUCUAAAAACUCUAUAUUGAAAAAUAAUUCAUAACUUUUUCAAAUCAACUCAAAUGAAAAUAAACUUUAUAUCAAAAUUGUAGGCAGCAACAUGAUCUACAACUUUGCAGUUGAAAAGUUUUUAAAUUAAAAUCGUUUAGGUUCCCAAAAUAUUUUUUAUAAGUUUAUAGAUUUUAAAAUUUAAAAUUUAAAAUUAAAUUUAUAACACUAAACGACUUCAAAUAAAAAACUUUUCAACUACAAAGUUGUAGAUUGUGCUGAGGACUAUAACUUUGGUAUAAAAUUUGUCUUCAUUUGAGUUCAUAUGAAAAAGUUAUGAAUUAUUUUUUGAUAUAGAGUUGUUAGAUCGCUUUGUUUUGACCCAGAUGAGAUUCAAAACCAAGUUUAGGGACCGAGAUGACACAACUGAACAACUUUGAGGAUCUAAACGGAUGAUUUCUAAGUUUAGGGACCGGGAUGACACAAUUGAACAAGUUUAGGGACCGAGAUGACACAGAUGAACAAGUUUGAGGACCUAAACAAUCGAGUUGUAAGUUUAGGGACCGGGAUGACACGACAGCACAAGUUUAGGGUCCGGUAGUGGACUUUACUCUUUCAAAAAAGUGUAUGUUUAUUUUUAACAAAGUUUGUUCUAUAUUUUUCCGGUACAAGUAUAUUUCAUACUACUACUACUACAGUAUUAUAUUUUUUUCUCAGAGUACUCGGCGAUGAUGUAUGUAUGUAUACAUACUCUCGGCGAUGAUGUAUGUAUGUAUACAUAUAUAUAUAUACUUUCAAAUAAUUAAAUAAUUUACCAUGUAUGUAUACAUUUAACCGCUAAUUUCUUUUGUAUGUGUUUUUUUUUAAACAGCCUUGCGACAAGCUUUUAUUCGUCUGACAUCGUUACAUCGUUUGAUUGUAAAUUAGCGGUGGAACAACUGACGUAGGUGCAAUGCCACACAAUUUGUACUUAAAGGUUGUAUAAAUGAUGGUAGGUCGAAAUAUCUGGCAUCGAUCGGCCUCCACACGGACGCGGUGGACAUUAAAAUUGUCCGGGCGAGCGAAAGGCGGUGGAGCUUUCCAGCCGGCAACACGGGGCGGCCGCGACCGGCAAAGAGGCCGUGCGUGGAGACAUCGCUGACGCCGAUCCCCGGCCGGCGUCGCGUCGACGGAGACCAUCCGUGGGUCAGGCCCAGUUUUAGUUUUGGGACAUGAAUGCACGGGCCAGCCGAGCCUAAUGGGCCGGUGAGCCUGCCUGCUAAGAGGUGCCUGUGCGUAGGCACCGCGAGCAUGUUUGGGCUGUUUGGCAUGGCUGAGCCGAGCUCCACCCAGAGUCAAGUGUAGCUAGCCAAACACUCCAACUCUAAAAAAAAUAUUGGAGCAGCCCUAUUCCAUAGAGUUUUUGAAGCUCUAGUAUAAAUUUUCAGAGUACAUCUUCUCUUACUCCAAAACAGACUAAAACAGACCAAGACAUGAAGUUGGUACCCGCAAUUGCCACUUGUUACACAAAUGAAUCGUUAUUUUUUCUAUUUUCCCUACCUCGACCCCUUCCCCUUCACACACCGUCCGCUUCCAGGGGAUGAGCAGGCCGGUCGACGCCGCCUCCCUCUCUCUGCCUCUCUCCCCCGCCUCCUCCCUCCAUCACCCACCGGCGGCCGCGUUGGCGCGUGGCCCGCUCGACGUCCUGGGCACACGGUGGCCUGAGCAGGGGGCGUAGUCGGCCAUGGCCUGCGGCCUACGCAGUGCCGCCAGGGGCGGGCGCGGCCUGCCCAGCUUCUGCAUGCGGUGGCACAGCCUCGGCGGCUCACGUCACGGUUCGGCCUAGCGCGGCGCUUGCAGCGGCCCUGACGCAUGGUUCCUAGCCGGCCUGCGCAGGAAGUACGAGAGCAUAAAUAUUGAAUUUUAUUUUGGAUUAUCUUGUACGCUAUUAAAUUUUAUUUUAUAUGCAUCAAAUACUUUUUCACCCAUAAUUACCUUUCCACGUUCUCAUUUUUCCAAGAACGCACCAUAUAUGCAAGGUUCAAUUUCAAAGCAAACAGUCGAACAGUAACAUGUGCAUAUGUGAUUGAAGGCAAGAGUAAAGUAGGCAAAACACAGUGACAAAGCACAACUCUAGAGCUCAGAGUACCAUUCCAGCCAAACACCCCUACCAGACAGCUCCAACUGGAUUUCUGAAGUGGAGCUACUCUGUGUGGAGUUGGAGCCAUGCCAAACAGACCCUCCUCACCUCGACAACCCGAACACUUCGUGCUGUCACAAAAUAAUACAUGGCCUAAAUCUAAAUAUUAAUAGGCUGGUAUAAGAUGAUUGGGGACAUGAUAAAAAAAUUUUGGAUACAAUUGAAAAUAAAUAUUAUGGUGGAUGAAAUUGAUCUACACCAUGUCCAACAAACCGCAAACAACAACAUCCCGCCCCCAAACUUUCGCCUGUGUGCGGGGUUGCGCGGCCACAAAAUAAAGACGACGACGGUCACACCGGCCGGUUUCCCCAAUAUAACAUAACCCGAGGAUACCUGUACUACCGAGAUUCUGCCAAGAUAGCGUGGCGUCUGUGGAUCCAGUGAUCGCGGCGGAGCCUGCAGCGGCGCAACGUGCACCCAUGUUCGAAUGUCUGCGGUGCCUGCCAAUGGUCACCGUGUUAUCCUGCUAUUUUAAUCCAAAAACCUGUACCGAAUCAAGUGCAGUGCGCGCGGCAUGCCGCCGAGACUGAGGAACUGAACGGGCAAAUGGGGUCGUUUCAAGCAGGGAGGCGGAGACGACUGACUGCAGAUGGCAAGUGCAACCCGCGCGGCAUGCCCGACCAAGGCCCACGGACAACGGGCCUGCCAUGGCACAGCCUGAAUGAAUCGCGCCAACUCCUAGCAUGGUUCGACGCGGACACACCCUGGCGCCGACGUGUUGUUAACGGAUCUUCGGAGAAUCGGUAUAAGAUAUUUUUUGCAAGCUAAAAUGUCAUCUAUUACUUUUUUUUUAAAAAAAGUUUCAGUAACACCCUAUUGUUGCAAAUUUAUAUUUACAAGUUCUGUCAUAAUAUUUUGUAGAAAUAAAAAAUUAUCACCACCAUUUCUUAUUGUAACUCUUAAUAUAGUUUUUACAUAAUUUUAUAGAAAACCUAAGAGAACAACCUUUUACAUGACCAGCGCAACCCAGUUUUCAUUCAUAGCUAUCAUCAGACAAACCUAUCUUGAUAAUUUCUCUGCAUAUAUUUUUAGAUAAACUUUUUAUAUAUACUAAAUUUUACAAAUAAUGUAAACUUAUUUAACGUCUUUGAAAUAAAUUAUUAUAUAUAAUGUAUAGUAAUUUUUUCCCAAAAUUGAACCUGAAUUUUCGUUCAAAUUAUGACAGAAGAAAUAUGGAUAGGUUAUUUAAAAACAAAAAGGUAACAAAAAAGGAAAGAAAAGAGAUGGAAGGAUACGGUGUAAGGAAACUGGACCUCGUUUCCACUAGAGUGAAAGGUCGGUAACUUGGAUUUGGGCUUUGCGAAAGCCUUCACAAGAUAAAACACCUGUUUAUCAACCGAGAAAGGUGACUAAAGGAGGGGAGGUUGAAUGAAAGCCUAACCUAAUGCUCACCUUGUCUUAUGAGAUUACUAUUUCAGCGAACGAAUAGUAUUUUUCUCUCACAACAAAUCAACAAACAAUAUUUUUAGUUAUGUCUUUUUAGCAUAGCAAACAAAUGGCUCAAACCCUUAGAAAAACAAAAUCCAUCAAAACACAAAGAAAGGGGUUCACAAGAAGAAAAACCAAAUUGAAAAAAACAAGACUUCAACUCAGAUCCUAGUGGAAUGAUUGCUUUGUUUCCAAGAUCAGAGUGGCCUAGUUCCAAUAGAGGAAAGAUUACACAAACUACGGAUCUCAACGCUAUACUAGACUUAGACUAGAUCUAAGAACUAAAACCUACUGACUCAAAUGAAAGCAUUGGAAGAUAUGGGCUGGUUUGGGUAGCCUCUCCUCUUAUUUAUAGAGCUAUUACACAAUCCAAAGUUGCUCUUAGAUAUUUUACUUGAACCACUUAACCCCAGGGGCAAAAAAAGUCUAAGUAGAGAACUUUGCAUCUAGCAACCACGAGCCCUUCAUGAGAUAACUUCACCUCAAUGCAAACUCCCUGAUGACGUCAUGUGCUGCCUCGAACUCCAUCCUAGGUUUUAAGGCCCAAACCUAGCGAAAAUGUCUGCUAGUGGUUUUGAGGCCCAAACUACCUAACCUAGCUGGAGAAGUGUAUAUGCUAUGCCUCCUCCAUGAUCUCGACGCGUGUCACUCUCUGUCCUCAGCCGCUCGAUCACCAAGUCCUUUGUGCCUCCGUUUGACUUGGUCAACUGCUAUCUAAACUCGGUCAACAUGGUAUCCUCCUCCAGUCAUGCACACUUGCUUGUUGAUGUCCCCAGGCAUUAGCCACUGAUGGUCUCAUCCGUCCUUCAUCGCUCCCGGUCCAUCGAUAUGGCAUGACCCUACUUGACCUUCUCCAUAGUCGUCAACCAUCUCUGUGCUUCACACCUGCGCACAUCAUGCCAAGAGACAUGUUGCACAAACACCACACUCACGCUAAGGUUGGUAUCUAGACUCAACCAAAGUCUGAUCAUCUUCUAGCAAUCACUCAUCAUCAAUCGACACACAUGUACACAUCUCAACCAUGUGUUCACAAUCUUCUGUUUGCUGAGUGCAUUCUCAACAACAACACAAAGAGAUAUAUCAAAAGCAAAAGAAAAGGUUCUCAACAUAUGCUAGCUCUUUGUGUAAACAUUCUCCAUCUUGUUGGCACAUGCACACAUCAAGCUAUAUAAAGUUGCAUCUCCCCCUUAAAAUAUGCUAUGAAGUGCUUAAGGACGCAGACAUGCAAGAGCUUUAGGAGUAGAUCAUCCAGAAUGAAAAGAUGCUCUAAGUGGUACUAUCACGUGAGUAUAACAAUAAAUCCAUGUGCUAGCAGAUGUUGAAAUAAACCGAUCAUAUGAUACAAUUGUGAUUUGCAAAGCAUUUUGAGCACAUUUUAGUCUUGAUAAAAGGUUUGCUAGUAAGAUAGCACAAAGCAGAUAUAGGCAGAAGAUCAAACAAGUGCUAGCUUGCGCAAACCUAUCUAGGGUGAACUACCUCAAUCAAGUGCCAAUCAACACGCCACAAAUGAACAGAUUUUCAUUUAAUUCUUUUUGCACAAGUGGAGUGAUGAAUCGGGGUGGAGUUUUCCGUGCCUACCCCUAUUAAAUAGAGUGGUGGGUGCAUUCCAUAUGAGAAGCUUUCAUGGCUCAAAUUUCUAGUGCAUGGAGGCGUGAGUCCUGCGUGCUUAGGUCGAAGCCUUGCGCCUACACUAUUUUGCUCUUGAGUGCAAUUGUCAUGUUGCUUGCUCAUUUUGCGUGGCACUGUUCUGGACCCGCUGCUUUCAAUUUUUUCGGCUUGACGCGCGUUGCUGCUUAUUUUUUUCCCGCCAGCGCUAGCGUUUUUGUUGUUUUUUCGUGUUUGCUUAAUUUGUUGGCACUCACGGCAUUCGAAUUCUGGCGCGCACGAGUCCGAUGCUUGGAUAUCCAAGACACUUCGACGCUUGGAAUCCGAUCCGACGCUUGCAUCUACUGCUCCAUUGCCUUGCUUCUUCCUUGCACACCUAGCUAGUUUGCUUCUUCUUAGCUUGUUCAUCUGGCCUUAGCUUUUUCAUCUACGUACUUCGCCGCGAUCUCAUCUGACUCCGACACGAUCUCCUCCAACUCCGGCACAACAAGUUUCGGCUUGGACUCCAUAGUUUGGACGAGCGGCCGGCGGCAAGCGCGAGCGGCGAGCAUGAGCGACGAGUGGACGACGCGAGAGGCGAGCAGGCCAGCGAGUGCACGAGCAACCUGCGGUACGAGCUUUGGACGAGCGGCUGGCGGCGAGCGUACGAGCAGCCGGCGGCGAGCGUGAGCGAUGAGUGGAACAACGUGAGAGGCAAGCAGGCCAGCGAGUGCACGAGCAACCAUCGGGCUAGCGGCUUUAGACGACGCGAGAGGCGGGCAGGCACGGCGUAGAUGGGAACCAAGGCGUGGCAUUCAUUGAUGGACUGCUUCAAUGCGGUGGGACGAUCGAAGAGGCCAGGGUAGUCCCGUCCAGAACCAUGGCUUCGGGUGCACAGCGACUUCUAUUAAACAAUCAUCUAUUCCCAUUAUGGAGGGAGUAUGCACUACUGCAGACUGCGCGUUUGCCGAGCGCCUGGGACGCUCGGCAAAGAGCGAUUUGCGCUCGGCAAAGGCUUUGCCGAGCGUGGUGCUCGGCAAAGAGGUCCCGGCAAAGAAACGCUCGGCAAAGGCUUCUUUGCCGAGCGUCUUUUAUCGGGCGCUCGGCAAAGCCUUUGCCUAGCGCCACAAAGAACUUCGGCAAAGAAAAGCGACGGGCAUGACCGUUAUGCACCGUGACAUCUUCUUUGCCGAGCGUCUUCACUCUGCGCUCGGCAAAGAGCAAAAUAUUUUUUUUGAAAAAUUCCUUUGCCUAGCGCCUACAAGACAACGCUCGGCAAAGAGGAAACAAUUUUUUUUUAAAAAAAAUCUUUGCCGAGCGCCUCCAACAACGCGCUCGACAAAGAGGAAAAAAUGUUUUUUGAAAAAAGUCUUUGCCUACCGCCUCCAACCUGGCGCUCGGCAAAGCUGGGUAGGUUGCUGUUUUCCCGCGCCAAAUAUUUCAGCUUUGCCGAGCGCGGCGCUCGGCAAAGACUCUUUGCCUAGCGCUGCGCUAGGCAAAGCUGGAAUCCAGUUUUUUUUGCUUUCUUUCACUGCAAACACAACAAAUCAUAUGUAUAUAUAUCACAUUGAUAUCGCCAUGAACACAAGUAGCACCAUUUAUAUUACAAUUCCAUCAAUUUUAUCACCACCGGCAAAGGAUAUAUCACAAUAGCACAUAUAUCUCAUAAUAGCAUCACUUAUUCGGCGAUAAAGUCCAUACAACAACUUCAUUCUAAUAAAGUUCAACACAACAAGUCCAAGUCCAUGACAUGAAGUUCAACACAACAAGUCCAAGUCCAUGACAUGAAGUUCCACACAACAAGUCCAAGUCCAUGACACAAAGAGAAGGAAUACAUGACAACUUCUUCGACGUUACUCACUGAGGCGGCGGUGGAGGUGCGUACUCGGGCCACCCAUUUGAUGGCGGCGACGGUCUCCCAUGCUCGUUCGCCACUUGGUUCGAACCCGCCGACUGAGGCUACACACAAGAGCAACGAUUGCAUGAGACAAAAGUUAAAUAGCUAAAUAACAUGCAUGUGUGAUAUAUAUUACUCACCGGAGUAGUGUGGAGAGCAACGAAGGGAGGAACGAUGGGAGGAGGCUGAGGUGGACCCAUCAAGUUGGGUGGUAAAGUAACACCCAAAGAACUCUGCAGAAACGCCAGCACAUCUGACAUCCUCUGGUCACUUGCCAGCCGCGUCGCCCGCUCUGAAGCCACAACCGCCUCCAGCUCGUCAGCCCUCUUGUUUGAAGUUUCCACCUGGGCCUAUACAUUGUUGCAAAGGUAAUGUUAGUGAAGCGAGAAGAAAAUCCUUAAUGCAUGAUGAGUAAACAAAAACUAACCUGUAGUGCCUCGACCCGGGCUUGUGCAUAGGCCGGCCGCUCGCGUAUCGGCGGGAGUCCGGAGCCGCUCGUGGUCUGUGCUCGGAUCUGGGAGAGACUGGGAGUAGUGGUGCUGUCGAUCACGCUGUUCGCCAUCCAGUAGCGCCCAUGUUGCUUUCCCUUUCCAAGACACAUGACGAGGCGUGCAUCGAUGUUGUCAGUCGUUGGAUCAUAAUCCAACCCAUGCAUCGCCCUCGCCGCCUCAUGGUACUCGGUGACUUUCUUGUAGGCGCUCUCACUUGUGUGCGCCUCGGGCGGGUCCUCCGGGUUGAAGGAGACGUCGGACGUCGCCUUGCCCUUGUGUGACAUGGUAUAUGCCGCGAAGUAGGAGCAUUGUUGGCCACCGUGCGCCGCCGACUGCGAGAACGAAAAGAAGUUUGUUAGUAGUCUUUGCCUAGUUAAAUUAAAGCAUGGAAACAGUUACAAACAUGAUGACGUACCCAAGCUCGGGUGAAGCCGCCGACGUUGUGGUUGCCUUGAUGGUGAGGCACACCUGGCAUGGCCAAACGGUGAGCCCGGAAAGUCGUGUGCUGCUGCCGCCACUCCUCGCUCAACCAACGGUCCACGAUUUGCCCCCACGCCUCAGGGGACUUUUCGCACCAACAAGGAAUGACCUACAUGUCAUGAAGUAAUCGACAUGUUAGGCAGUCAAGUUCAUAGCACUUAAUGUUGAAAGGAACUUAAUUUAAAGUUGCUCUGUUACCUGCAUGAACUGCUCUUUGGUCAGAGUGAGCCUCCGCUCUCGAAUUUGUUUCUUGUUGACGCUCUCGCCAAACUGCUUCCCAUAGUAGUCUCUGAUGGCCUGGAUUCUCGCCUCGUGGUACAUGUCCGUCACGCGCUUCCUGCAAGCUUUCCUAGCCACGGCGUCUGCAUUGCCCUCGUAGCUCUCGUCAAGCUUGAAGUAUGUCUGCAUAUGAAGACACAAUGUAUGCAUUAGUUAUUUCAAGUAGGAUCCAAUGAAUGCGUUGCAUUAAGGCAUGUAGUGCGAGGAAAGCUUACCCAGAACUCCUGAAGGAUGAGCGCUGCCACGUUGCCUGCGGUGGCAUGGUGGGCGGACUCAUAGCAGGCCCACGUGUAGACAGGCUCGUCCUUCCCGGCAUCCGUUACAAUGCCAGGGAAGUAGUGCCUGACCAGGGCACCUAGGACUCCAUUCACAUGGCGUGAAUCCCCUUCCGACACAACUCUCUAGGUCCUGCACAAGUGAUAAAGUAGACAUAUUAGUAUAUAUUUAGAUUUUGAACAAAGGAUACAAAGUAAUAGUGAUAACAUGUAGAGGUGUCUUACGCUUGCCCCUCUGGGACAAUCGAAACGCAUCGCCUCGGUUUGUCAGGGAGAGACGUGGGACCUCGGAAGUAGACACUGCCCGUAGUAGUGGAAGAUGACGUCCUAGCAGAGCCCUCAUCCCCGCCACCGCCGAGGUCCCCGUCGUCAUCCCCCUCGUCCUCCUCGUCCUGCUGCACCUGCUGCUCCUCGUCCUCAUCCUCCACCACCUGCUGCUCCUCAUCCUCCUCCUGCUGUGGCUGCUCCUCGUCCUCCUCCUCCUGAGGCUCAGGCUGGACCACAUGAGUCAUCCUCCUCGUCGGCCUCCUCGCCGUCCUCCUCGCCAUCUUGCGGCGUCUCGUCCCCACUGGAGUGGGCUCUGGCACGUCGUCUGCACCCCCUCUACUACCAGAGCCCUGGUAGAAGUGGCUCAGGCUCCUCUGACGGCCUCCUGGCAUUGUUGCUCAAUCACCUACAAUUAAGAUGGAAUAAACGUAAUUAUAAAUAGAUAUAAAAUAAAUAAAACUAAAUUACAAAAUCUGAAAGUAUUACAUGUAUGUUACAAAUAUUCUUCAUGAUCGGGAUUAGCUAGACCGUAAGUCUCAUCAUUACUAUCAACCAGGUCAAAAUAAUCAACAACAUCUGGCGGAGGAAUGUUGUCUUCAUCAUUAUUGCCUAGACGCAACCGCUCAAGCAUUUGUAAGUCAUUUGGAUCUCGCACCUCAUCUUCGUCAUCAUCAUCAAUGACCAUUACAUUGUGUACAUCCAUUCCUAUCUCACAGGUUAAGUCUAUCUCGAACCUCCCUUGUAGCCCAUCUUCUUGGUAAAACUCUCCAUUUUACGUGGUUGGGUUGAAGUGGUAGUCUUCAUCAUUUGGGAGAGGUGCUCCGCCGUGUGGUGACACCUUGUGCACAACACACCAACCAUUGUGAUCCAGUCUAGCCUUGCAAGCAUACGGCGUAUAAUAAACUUGUGUGGCCUGUUGUGCCACAAUAUACACAUCGUCUCUUGGAUAGACAGAAUCAUGUCGAAUUUCAACAAGACCAAGAUUCGGGGUCUUCCUUGUUACUUCCGGAUCAAACCAAUGGCAUUUGAAUAUGACAGGACGAGCUUUGGUGCUACCAGGGAAUGUGAUUUCGUAUAUUUCUUCAACUCUUCCAUAGUAGUGCUUGCCAUCAGUGCCAGGCGUAAAAACCCCGCUAUUUGUGGUCUUUCGAUUUGGCCGCACACGCUCGUAGCUUGUUGUGUGAAACCGAAAUCCAUUCACAUCGUAAGCGGACAAUGACUUGACUCGGCGGUCACACCCAUUGGCAACACAUCUCAGGUCAGCACCGAUAGAAGGAUCGGUUCGGGCCUUGGUUGAGAACCAACAAAUGAAAUCAGGCCUCCCUUGUCCCGCACCAUUGGCGAGGAGGGUGUCUUGUUCUGACGGGGUAGGCUCCCUUGGGCGAAGCCAGUAUUGACGAAUGAAUUCCCUAUGAUGAGUAACAAGGGGGUUAGAUGUAGAAAAGGUGCGGGAUUAUUGAAACUAGUCUGUUGAGAACUUACACAAUGUAUGGGUCCACCUCUUCUAGGUUGGUCAACACAUACAACAUGAUUUUACGCCACUCCACAUUUGACAAGGGCUUAGUGGUCGACCCACCGGCUCUUCCAAGUUGCCCUCAGAAAAGGCUGAGGGUCCACUCAUUUUCAUCAGCAUUAUAGCGUGGAUGUGGAUUAUGAACACUUCGAAGGGUGUCGUCGUAAUAUGAUGUUGUGAAGUUUGACGUCUCCUCCAAAGUGAAUGCACUUGCAAUUGAAGCCUCGAUUUUACCCUUGUUUUUGCACUUUUUUCGAAGAGUCUUUAGGCACCUCUCGAUCGGAUAGCACCAACGGGCCUGCACGGGCCCCCCCUCAUUCGUGCCUCAUACGGGAGGUGUAAUAUCAGAUGUUGCAUGGGAUUGAAGAAGCCUGGUGGAAAGAUUUUCUCCAACUUGCAAAGUAGGACAGGUGCCACUUUUUCCAAGUCUGCAAUCAUGGAUCGAGAUAACUCCUUGGCACAGAGUUAGCGGAAGAAGUAGCUCAACUCUGCCAGCACUGUCCAUAUGGGCUCAGGGACGAAGCCUCGAACCAUCGUCGGGAGAAGACGCUCAAUCCAAAUGUGGUAGUCAUGACUCUUCAUCCCGUUCACUCGGAGAGUACUUAAGUUCACUACCCUCCUCAGAUUUGCUGCAUACCCAUCGGGGAACAUCAACGUCUUCAUCCAUUCGAGUACUUCCCUCCUUUGUCUAGGGGCGAGGACAAAAUCUGCCUUAGGCCUUUUCCAUGUCCUACCACCACUAGGAGCUUGUAUCUCUUGAUGUGGUCUAUGGCACAACUCUGCAAGGUCCAAUCGAGCCUUAGGGUUGUCCUUUGACUUUUCAGUGUUCAUGAGCGUUGCCCAGAGUGCCUCCGCGACAUUCUUUUCGGUGUGCAUGACAUCAAUGUAAUGUGGCAUGAGGAGGUCAUCAAAAUAAGGGAGUCUUGUCAAGCCAGACUUAUGAGUGCCAUGUCAUUUGCUUAGCAGGCUCCUCGCUCAUGUAUACCCGUUGGAUCCUCGGCAAGAAAGGGAGGUACCGUAGGAUUUUCAUCGGGACGGUAAGCUGCUCCUUCUGGCCGCCACCAGAGUCUACCUCUAGGUACCGAGAGGCUUUACACUUCAGACAGUACUUCUCCUGCUUAAGAUCUUUCCUGAACAAGACACACCCGUUCGGACAACAAUGUAUCUGCUCGUACGACAUCUUGAGUCCAUCAAGGAGUUUCUAGCACUCGUACAGGCUCUUUGGCAGCACGUAGCCCUUCGGAAGCAUGCUAGCAAUCAAGGCCAGCAUGCCAUUGAAGUGUUGCCGACUCAUGUUGAUCUCGGCCUUAAACGCCAUCACGCGUCCAACGGCAUCGAGCUGACAAACCAUCGUGCGAUCAUGAAGGGGUUUCUGUGCUGAAGCCAUCAUGUCAUAGAAUGCCUUUGCGGAUGUCUUUGCCUCCUCCACACGCCCAUCGGGGAUUUGUGCUUGUGCGAAGUCAUCUAACAUGUCUACAACCCUACCACCAUCAUCGACAUGCUCGAGGCGAGGCCGCACAACCUCCUCUCUCAACCGAUGCGCUUCACCAUGGUGUACCCACCGGGUAUAGCCCGACACAAAGCCAUUCAACUGAAGAUGUUUAGCCAUGGUCUCCUGGUUCUGCCAUUUCCUAUUUGCACACUUGCUACAGGGACACUUCGCCAAUCGUGCUCUGUCCACACCACUACCAAAUGCACAGUCCAAGAAAGCCUCUGUCUUCUGCCCCCAUUCAAUGCUGAAAUCAUGCUUACUUGUGUAUCCUGCAUACAUCCACUCACGGUCAUCCAUCGUCUAACAUGCAUAUCAAAGAUGAACAUAAACAUCAAGUGCAUCUACUUCGUGUUCCUACAGUCUAAUAGGUAAGGAUAGGUCCUAAUCCCACCUGUGGAUGCGUAGACGAGGUUAGUUUCCAUGGGCUACUCCGAGCUGAGACAGAAUUUCGGCAGCACCUCCCCGCUGUUCUCCAGAUACACGUCCCGUCGCACAGAAUGUGGAUCCACAGAACAAGAUCUUGGUAACGCUGAAACCUUAUUUCGGCUGAACCGAUUCAUGGGUUGUAAGGCCGUCAAGCCAAAAAGACAUCUCUUCCCUAGGCGCCCGACGGCGUCUCCAGACUUCCUAACGUCGGCGUCGACCGCCACGUGCCGGCUCGGGAAAUCUUAACCGGUUUUUUUUUCGGGCUACCCGCGAGAUCGGGGUGGGUGGGGGGGUUACACCGACCCUUAGGAUCGGUUUACCCUUGNNNNNNNNNNNNNNNNNNNNNNNNNNNNNNNNNNNNNNNNNNNNNNNNNNNNNNNNNNNNNNNNNNNNNNNNNNNNNNNNNNNNNNNNNNNNNNNNNNNNNNNNNNNNNNNNNNNNNNNNNNNNNNNNNNNNNNNNNNNNNNNNNNNNNNNNNNNNNNNNNNNNNNNNNNNNNNNNNNNNNNNNNNNNNNNNNNNNNNNNNNNNNNNNNNNNNNNNNNNNNNNNNNNNNNNNNNNNNNNNNNNNNNNNNNNNNNNNNNNNNNNNNNNNNNNNNNNNNNNNNNNNNNNNNNNNNNNNNNNNNNNNNNNNNNNNNNNNNNNNNNNNNNNNNNNNNNNNNNNNNNNNNNNNNNNNNNNNNNNNNNNNNNNNNNNNNNNNNNNNNNNNNNNNNNNNNNNNNNNNNNNNNNNNNNNNNNNNNNNNNNNNNNNNNNNNNNNNNNNNNNNNNNNNNNNNNNNNNNNNNNNNNNNNNNNNNNNNNNNNNNNNNNNNNNNNNNNNNNNNNNNNNNNNNNNNNNNNNNNNNNNNNNNNNNNNNNNNNNNNNNNNNNNNNNNNNNNNNNNNNNNNNNNNNNNNNNNNNNNNNNNNNNNNNNNNNNNNNNNNNNNNNNNNNNNNNNNNNNNNNNNNNNNNNNNNNNNNNNNNNNNNNNNNNNNNNNNNNNNNNNNNNNNNNNNNNNNNNNNNNNNNNNNNNNNNNNNNNNNNNNNNNNNNNNNNNNNNNNNNNNNNNNNNNNNNNNNNNNNNNNNNNNNNNNNNNNNNNNNNNNNNNNNNNNNNNNNNNNNNNNNNNNNNNNNNNNNNNNNNNNNNNNNNNNNNNNNNNNNNNNNNNNNNNNNNNNNNNNNNNNNNNNNNNNNNNNNNNNNNNNNNNNNNNNNNNNNNNNNNNNNNNNNNNNNNNNNNNNNNNNNNNNNNNNNNNNNNNNNNNNNNNNNNNNNNNNNNNNNNNNNNNNNNNNNNNNNNNNNNNNNNNNNNNNNNNNNNNNNNNNNNNNNNNNNNNNNNNNNNNNNNNNNNNNNNNNNNNNNNNNNNNNNNNNNNNNNNNNNNNNNNNNNNNNNNNNNNNNNNNNNNNNNNNNNNNNNNNNNNNNNNNNNNNNNNNNNNNNNNNNNNNNNNNNNNNNNNNNNNNNNNNNNNNNNNNNNNNNNNNNNNNNNNNNNNNNNNNNNNNNNNNNNNNNNNNNNNNNNNNNNNNNNNNNNNNNNNNNNNNNNNNNNNNNNNNNNNNNNUGAUCCGACGGCCCAGAUUCACUUGAAGGGACUAUAAAACCAGACCCCCCUGGCCCCUGGAGAUCAUACCUCUUCUACAGAAUCAAAGUUAGGGUUUCAAGUCUUCAUCCAAGUAGAGAGGAUCACUCUAGUUCUUCUAGUUCUACCUCUAGUUCAUCUAGAUCUAGUUCUAGUUCAUCUAGUUCUAGUUCUAGUUCCUCUAGUUCUAGUUCUAGUUAGUUCUAGUUGUAAUCUAGAAAAUAGGGACGUUAUGUAAAGCGAAUAUCAAUUUUUGAACCGUCGAAUUCGGAGAUUCGAUACACCUGCAGUUCAAAUCCGCGUUUAUCGUAGAAAUUCAAUUAAACCAAAUUAACUAAUGAUAUAUAAUAAACAAAUUUUAAAAACUACCAAAACCUUAACAUAUACUAUUAAAUAAUGUGUAAUGCAAAACAAAAAAGUUUGAAAGCAAAUAUCAAAAAAAAAUCUUUGCCGAGCGCCAAAAGUCAGCGCUAGGCAAAGAGAUGCCUUUGCCGAGCGCCUAACGGAGGGCGCUCGGCGCUCGGCAAAGGGUGACGGCAGGUACCCCAUGUUACAUCUGCUAUCUCUUUGCCAAGUGCAAGCCUUUGCUGAGCGCUUGGCGCUUGGGAAAGAUGUUCUUUGCCUAGAGCGGGCCUUUGCCGAGCGCCUGGCGCUUGGCAAAGAUGUUCUUUGCCGAGCGUCUCCGUUUGCUGAGGGCACUACCCUCGGUAAAGAAAUCUUUGCCGAGCGCUGUCGUUGCCGAGGGCCCUGCGCUAGGCAAAGGUGGCCUUUACCGAACGCCCGAUGAAUAGCGCUCGGCAAAUAACCAGGCGCUAUGCAAAGGCGAUGUCUGCCGUAGUGAUGCAUAUACUACUCGACUAUUUAUCCGACCAGUUCUAACUUUUGAAAAAUCCGCAUCCACAUUUACAUCCAUUUAUUAUCCGCUCCGCACCAAUUCCGAUAAAGAAAAGUGGAUUAGAUAUGGGGAAGACAUUAUCCGUACUGAUUCGAUCUGUUUUCAUUCCUACUUGCAGAGGCGGCUGUUGUUUCCAGCCACCUUUGGAACUUCUCCAACCAAUUUUUUGAAAAUUUUCCGCGCGCAGACUAAGUAAAUUUAUGUAAAUAGAAAAACCAAAAUAUCUUAUAAUUUAGAAAAAAAAUAGAGUAAAUUACAAUGCAACUUUGCUGAUCAAUCAUGCAAAUCCAUAAAUCCCUAAACGGCUAAACUGAUGUUCACAAUCGAAAGCAAAAGAAACUCAAGCCUAUUAAACGAGCUCAACACUCACGAAUAAUUAGCACGAGGAUGCCCACCCAGACACCGGCACUCCGUUUCUGUCGACCUCCAUGUUGUGUCCAGCUGUCUAGAGCACGCUAAGUACAUUAUCAAUGCAAGUCUACAUCAGUAAUGGAGGAUCCCAGAUCAGCCUCCGAUCUCGACGAUGAUCUUUCCGGUGGCAUGGCCGUCGACGCUCUUCUGCCAGGCCUUGCUCACCUCGCUCAGUGGGAACCUCGAGUCAAUCAGUGUCUUGAGCUUGCCGUCCUUCAGCAGCCCGACCAGGAACUCUAGGUCCGCCUUGUUGGGCGACAGGUGCAGUGGCACCAGCCUCUUCCUGGCGAAGGUCACCAUGUGCAGCGCCCAUUUGAGGAUGGAGCUGAAGUUUGGGGUGAUGUCGAUCACCCUCCCGGUGGUGGCCAGCACAGGCUCGAACGUCGACCAGCUGAUCCGGGCAGCGCAAUGGAUGACAACAUCGUACUUCUUACCCGAGGGGCUCUGCAGGCUGGCACCCUCUGGCGUCUUGUAGUCAAGCACCUCAUCCGCGCCCAGGCUCUUCAGC